GACGAACGCUGGCGGCGCGCUUAACACAUGCAAGUCGAACGGUAAGGCCCUUCGGGGUACACGAGUGGCGAACGGGUGAGUAACACGUGGGUGAUCUGCCCUGCACUUCGGGAUAAGCCUGGGAAACUGGGUCUAAUACCGGAUAGGACCACUGCCUGCAUGGGUGGUGGUGGAAAGCUUUUGCGGUGUGGGAUGGGCCCGCGGCCUAUCAGCUUGUUGGUGGGGUGAUGGCCUACCAAGGCGACGACGGGUAGCCGGCCUGAGAGGGUGGCCGGCCACACUGGGACUGAGAUACGGCCCAGACUCCUACGGGAGGCAGCAGUGGGGAAUAUUGCACAAUGGGCGCAAGCCUGAUGCAGCGACGCCGCGUGAGGGAUGACGGCCUUCGGGUUGUAAACCUCUUUCAGCACCGACGAAGCGCAAGUGACGGUAGGUGCAGAAGAAGGACCGGCCAACUACGUGCCAGCAGCCGCGGUAA
Molecule: ribosomal RNA, 478 nt
Filed under: uncultured bacterium
Lineage: Bacteria
Description: partial 16S ribosomal RNA
Rfam family: Bacterial small subunit ribosomal RNA
Source: RNAcentral